Molecule: ribosomal RNA, 336 nt
Filed under: Pseudacris maculata (boreal chorus frog)
Lineage: Eukaryota; Metazoa; Chordata; Amphibia; Anura; Hylidae
Description: partial 16S ribosomal RNA
Rfam family: Bacterial large subunit ribosomal RNA
Source: RNAcentral
CCCGUGAAGAAGCGGGGAUAAACUUAUAAGACGAGAAGACCCUAUGGAGCUUUAAACUAAACUACACUUGCUUUUAUAUAUAAACAUUUUCAGAAUGAUUAAUACUUAUCUUAGCUUCAUGAUUUUUAGUUUUAGGUUGGGGUGACCGCGGAGUAAAAUAAAACCUCCACAUUGAAAGGGAUUUUGAACCCUGAGCAAUGAGUCACGACUCUAUGCACCAAUAAAUUGACAUCAAUUGACCCAAUACUUUUGAUCAAUGAACCAAGUUACCCUAGGGAUAACAGCGCAAUCCGCCUCAAGAGCUCCUAUCGACAGGCGGGUUUACGACCUCGAUGU